AUUGAACGCUGGCGGCAUGCCUUACACAUGCGAGUCGAACGGCAGCACGGGUGCUUGCACCUGGUGGCGAGUGGCGAACGGGUGAGUAAUACAUCGGAACAUGUCCUGUAGUGGGGGAUAGCCCGGCGAAAGCCGGAUUAAUACCGCAUACGAUCUACGGAUGAAAGCGGGGGACCUUCGGGCCUCGCGCUAUAGGGUUGGCCGAUGGCUGAUUAGCUAGUUGGUGGGGUAAAGGCCUACCAAGGCGACGAUCAGUAGCUGGUCUGAGAGGACGACCAGCCACACUGGGACUGAGACACGGCCCAGACUCCUACGGGAGGCAGCAGUGGGGAAUUUUGGACAAUGGGCGAAAGCCUGAUCCAGCAAUGCCGCGUGUGUGAAGAAGGCCUUCGGGUUGUAAAGCACUUUUGUCCGGAAAGAAAUCCUUGGCCCUAAUACGGUCGGGGGAUGACGGUGCCGGAAGAAUAAGCACCGGCUAACUACGUG
This 486-nucleotide ribosomal RNA is filed under the name uncultured bacterium. RNAcentral's name for it is "partial 16S ribosomal RNA". It matches the Rfam family "Bacterial small subunit ribosomal RNA", at positions 30 to 507 of the family's 1533-position model. The record is from RNAcentral.